UCCACACUGUAAACGAUGAUAACUCGCUGUCGGCGAUACACAGUCGGUAGCCAAGCGAAAGCGAUAAGUUAUCCACCUGGGGAGUACGACCGCAAGGUUGAAACUCAAAGGAAUUGACGGGGGCCCGCACAAGCGGAGGAACAUGUGGUUUAAUUCGAUGAUACGCGAGGAACCUUACCCGGGCUCGAACGGUGCAGGAAUAUGACAGAGAUGUCAUAGCUAGCAAUAGUCUGUAUCGAGGUGCUGCAUGGUUGUCGUCAGCUCGUGCCGUGAGGUGUCGGCUUAAGUGCCAUAACGAGCGCAACCCUUGUCGUUAGUUGCC
This 322-nucleotide ribosomal RNA is filed under the name uncultured bacterium. RNAcentral's name for it is "bacterial SSU rRNA". It matches the Rfam family "Bacterial small subunit ribosomal RNA", at positions 794 to 1119 of the family's 1533-position model. The record is from RNAcentral.